UACGUAGGGAGCAAGCGUUGUCCGGAAUCAUUGGGCGUAAAGCGCGCGUAGGCGGCCCGAUAAGUCCGCUGUAAAAGUCAACGGCUCAACUGUUGAAAGCCGGUGGAUACUGUCGGGCUAGAGUACGGAAGAGGCAAGUGGAAUUCCAGGUGUAGCGGUGAAAUGCGUAGAUAUCUGGAGGAACACCGGUGGCGAAGGCGGCAUCCUGGACCGGUAUUGACGCUGAGGAGCGAAAGCCAGGGGAGCAAACGGG
This 253-nucleotide ribosomal RNA is filed under the name uncultured bacterium. RNAcentral describes it as "partial 16S ribosomal RNA". It matches the Rfam family "Bacterial small subunit ribosomal RNA", at positions 524 to 776 of the family's 1533-position model. The record is from RNAcentral.